GACGAACGCUGGCGGCGUGCUUAACACAUGCAAGUCGAACGCUGAAGCUCAGCUUUUGUUGGGUGGAUGAGUGGCGAACGGGUGAGUAACACGUGAGUAACCUGCCUCCUUCUUUGGGAUAACGCCCGGAAACGGGUGCUAAUACUGGAUAUUCACUGGUCUUCGCAUGGGGGCUGGUGGAAAGGGUUUUUCUGGUGGGGGAUGGGCUCGCGGCCUAUCAGCUUGUUGGUGGGGUGAUGGCCUACCAAGGCUAUGACGGGUAGCCGGCCUGAGAGGGUGACCGGUCACAUUGGGACUGAGAUACGGCCCAGACUCCUACGGGAGGCAGCAGUGGGGAAUAUUGCACAAUGGGCGCAAGCCUGAUGCAGCGACGCCGCGUGAGGGAUGGAGGCCUUCGGGUUGUGAACCUCUUUCGCUCAUGGUCAAGCCGCAACAAUGGUUGUGGUGAGGGUAGUGGGUAAAGAAGCGCCGGCUAACUACGUG
This 483-nucleotide ribosomal RNA is filed under the name uncultured bacterium. RNAcentral's name for it is "partial 16S ribosomal RNA". It matches the Rfam family "Bacterial small subunit ribosomal RNA", at positions 28 to 507 of the family's 1533-position model. The record is from RNAcentral.